Molecule: transfer RNA, 75 nt
Filed under: Podarcis lilfordi (Lilford's wall lizard)
Lineage: Eukaryota; Metazoa; Chordata; Lepidosauria; Squamata; Lacertidae
Description: tRNA.Lys
Rfam family: tRNA (bases 7-64)
About the family: Transfer RNA (tRNA) molecules are approximately 80 nucleotides in length.
Source: RNAcentral
UGAGAGUAGCUCAGUUGGUAGAGCAUGAGACUCUUAAUCUCAGGGCCAUGGGUUUGAGCCCCACAUUGGGCAAAA